CAGCUGACCUUACAAAAUUUUGGAAAGUCCGUUUGGAGACAACACUCCAUGAAGCUGAGGUACUAAUCUAGGAUAUGUUGUGUGCUCUGAAGCAGGACUGAUCAUUCCAAAGCUAGAAUAUAUGAAUCUGCAAAGUGUCAUCAUCCAGUCGGCUGAGCUCACAGAGGAAGAUCACUCUGCCGGUCUCAAGAACUUGUCAAUGGGCUGCAAUAAAUAUUUCAUUCAGAAACAACAAAAAUCAACCAGCAAAGUUAAGCAAGAUUCCAAAAACCUUCCUUUGAAGUUCUCCAAGGCGAUUAUUGAUUUCCGAGAACAUACAAGGAAAGUAUGAUUUGUGAGAGACUCUUCAAUACUGAAAACAAAUGGAGGGCUGAAAAGGG
Suricata suricatta (meerkat) is the source of this 380-nucleotide long non-coding RNA. RefSeq lists it as uncharacterized. The record is from RefSeq and is a predicted model, not a curated record. NCBI's taxonomy places the organism in Eukaryota, Metazoa, Chordata, Mammalia, Carnivora, Herpestidae. The transcript has 3 exons.